Molecule: ribosomal RNA, 116 nt
Filed under: Priestia megaterium
Lineage: Bacteria; Bacillati; Bacillota; Bacilli; Caryophanales; Bacillaceae
Source: RNAcentral
UCUGGUGGCGAUAGCGAAUAGGUCACACCCGUUCCCAUACCGAACACGGAAGUUAAGCUCUUUAGCGCCAAUGGUAGUUGGGACUUUGUCCCUGUGAGAGUAGGACGUUGCCAGGC